GGGAGAGGCUGUGUACUGAGUCCCUGCCCAGUGGGUACACAGUCACACAGCGAUGCACUGUCGGUUGUUAUCCAUUGCCUGGGGCAACACUGCUGUUGAAUUGCUGAUGGUGGCUGGUCCUGACAGAGAGUGAAGACCUGCAGUGUUUGGAUUCUUAGGAAGCCCAUUACCAUCUGGGAGCAGGAGGCUCCGGGACAUAAGAGGAGGGACAUUAAGAAGAAGGGAUGACAAAGAUAAAGAGGCAACUUUGGAACAAGUUGACUGUGAAGACUCUGUGAAAAUGUCUACAUGAAAUGUCUUGUAAGCAGUUCAGUGUACUGAUCUGGAGCUCAAGAGAGAAAACAGACCUGGAGAUUCAGGCUGGGAACCCAGAGCCUCAUAUGCUUCCCCAUCCCACUGCUGGAGGGACCUGAAACCUCUGGGCUCCGCUGCGGGGUGCCACUCACCUCUUCACAGAUGUGGCGUGUGUUUCAUUACAGAAGCCUACACUAAAGGAGAAGUGAUGUAAUCCACACAUCUGCAGAAUAUAAACUGUUAAGUACCUGCUCAGCAAAGUAAAACACAAGUGAGGAUCUAAUUUUUUUGCCUGAGAUGAUAGCCGGAGGAAGAUCACAUUGGGAAAAGGAACCUUGAUCCUCACAUAUCCUGCCAUGAGAAUACUCUGUUCUAAGCAAGGUGACCUUUAAAGGAAGUUUUGGGAAUUAUUUAUUUAAUCCGGUGACACUACUAAAAACAUUAAUGAAAGUAAGGAAAUUGUUGGUUCGUUUUAUGCUUCUUCUAAUGAAUCUCUGCUUUUUCUAUAAGUCUUUCCACUUUGUGUGGUAGGAGGAAUAUGGUAAUGAAUAUUUUUGGAUACCAAAUAAAUAAAAAGGAAGAUGCAAGGUGUACACUGGCCUUACAAUAUGCUGUUUACCUAGUUAUGAUAUAAAAAUCUAUUAUUAUAAUAUUUCUGGUUCCACUGAGAAAGAAUUGAUACUCACUCACUAUAUUUAUAUGUAUAUUCCUUUCAACAUUUUUGUGUUUUAUUUUCUAGUUUAUUAGAUUUUUAAUAGCAAAAGUAAUAAUGCUUGUUCAAGAAGUCAAACACUACAGACAUGUAUAUAUGAAUAUAAAUGUCCCAUACCUCCCUUCAAUUUUAUCUCCUAUGUAUUUCAAAUAGCCUUUUUUAAAAAUUUAAGAACAAAACAUGUCCAUUCUAAAACAUUUACAAAAGUAGACAAGCAAAAGAAGUGAGUCACACAUAGUCUCCCAUUCUGGUGUAACCACUGUUAAUAUUUUGGUGUAGAUCUUUCAAACUUUUCCCAAUAUGUGUAUUUAUUAAAAAUGGACUUACUUUUUGCAACUUAUCUUUUUUGCUCACUAAUGUCUUGUGGGCAUUCUUCUGUAUCAAUACAAUGGAAAAUCUUGUAUUUCCAAAACAUGAUAUGUAACAUGCGCCACAGUUGAUGCGUGGGAUGAUUUUUUGGUGUUACAUGAACACACCUUAAACAUUUUUAAUGGCUGCAUUUUUUGUUUGUGAGUAAUUGAAAAAAUAUAACUAGUACAGGGAGUCUGUAAUUUUUCAGAUACUGUUGCUUGUGACAAGGCUAAAGAAGGCAGCACUGUAAUAAUCAACUUUAUGAAGAGUGUGGAUUACUGUGCGAUCCUUAGUCGUCCCCAUGAAUGUCUCAGAUAAAACUUAUAAUUCUUGGACUUGAUGAGUGGUGCUCAACCCUCUCAGAUCCACUGUUCCCUUUUAAUGCAAAGUUUUAACACCCCUUUUCCAAUCCUGAAAUAAUAAUCCUAGAUAGCCAACCUAUGUAUAAUUUAAUAAAAAUCAAUAUAAUGUCCUAUCCUGGAUAAAAAGGAGACACAAAAGAAAAUAACACGUUUAAAGGAAUAUAUAUUUCAAUGAAUUAAAUGCUUGGGCUUGGCUACCAUGGAGGACCUAACGGGAGAUUUGCUGAGAACAUGAAGCUGCAAGUACAGACAGAUACAGAUGAAUUUCAUGGUGACUCAAAUACCACCAGCAGCACGGCCAUUGGUGAUGCUGAUUUUCCAAAACUGUGAACAACUUUUGGUACAUUUCUGAACAAAAUAAAACAUGGUCUUCCCUGAUGUACAAAGGAGCUGCUUUUCUGGAAAAAAUCAACAUAUAUUAAAGUUGUGCAAAAAUUUUGCUUUUAUGUGUUAAAUGGAUUUAGGUCUGGCUUAGGUAAUUCUGAAUUAAGAAUAUAUUUAGGUCUAGCUCAGUAGGUUUUUCAUGGACUUGGAUUUUCUAUAAGACAUUUAAAGUCACGUGGAAUUACCCAUCAAUUCCUGGUCGUAUAGGACCAUGCCUGGCAUUCUAGGCUGUCUAAAAUUUCUGACCCAUUUACCCAAAAAAGCCAGUAGUACCUCCAACCCCUGAUUAUUGCAACAACCAAAAACGUCCACAAAUUUCUAAAAUGAUUCCUAGGCAGUAGCACAGUUCCUGAGAACCAUUAGUGAAAAUUGCACAGAUGGCUGUGGAUUCUCGUAUACUGACUGUCUGUAUGAUACUUACGCUCUUUUCUGAGGUACAUCAAAGGGUCACUUUUGGAAGCUGACAAUUAUUUAGUAUGCAAGGUAUGUAUAAAUAUACAUAACUGCGAUUUGGAAUCAGACAUGCACUUCAUUUCUUUUCCUUAUUGAGCCUGUUGUACAUCAGUCAGCGGAAAAAGAGAUUUUUAAUGCAGAAAGGUGAAGUUUGUGACAGAUAUAAAGGGUAUUAAUUGUGAUUUGAUUAAAUCAGCCAUGUUUUUUGCUGGGUAUCAGGACCAAAUCAAUGCAUUAAUGUCAUUACUCUGUAUUUGUUUUUAUGGUUAUCUGACACCUAAGGUGAAUUAUACUGUAUUUUCACUUACAUAGUGUGAAAAAAUUACCUUUAAAUACUCUUAUUUCAGUAAAACAUGUGAGUUAAUUUAAAGGAAAAUGUUAAGUAGAUAUUAGUGCAGAUGGCAAUAUUCCAAAGAUG
Equus caballus (horse) is the source of this 2974-nucleotide long non-coding RNA. NCBI's taxonomy places the organism in Eukaryota, Metazoa, Chordata, Mammalia, Perissodactyla, Equidae. The record is from Ensembl.